UUCUAGAUGACUCUAAUGGUGCAUGGAGGGAGCUGCUCUCCUCCCACAUCCAGGACUUCUUCAGCUUUUGUUUGAGAAGCUCUCAGGCCUCCAGCCGCUCUGCCACACCUCUAAACUCGGACUCUGAGUCAGACACUGUCAGCCCGGGUUUGUACGACAAAACUUCUCUGCGUACCAUGUUGGCUGUUAUUGACUAUCUGAGACAUCAGCAGAGACCACUGGAAGUAGAGAGCUGUGCCACAGUGUGUGGCUCAAACUUCUGGCUGGAGCUGAACUACCUGGAGGUGGCCAAAGCUGCUCAGUCCUGCUCGGCACAUUUCACCGCUCUACUGUACACUGAGAUCUACGUGGAUAAGAUCAAAGCUAACAUGGAAGAAAG
This is a non-coding RNA of Plectropomus leopardus (leopard coralgrouper), 379 nucleotides long. NCBI's taxonomy places the organism in Eukaryota, Metazoa, Chordata, Actinopteri, Perciformes, Serranidae. The record is from RefSeq and is a predicted model, not a curated record.